This 1487-nucleotide small RNA is filed under the name Pongo abelii (Sumatran orangutan). RNAcentral describes it as "processed transcript". Lineage: Eukaryota; Metazoa; Chordata; Mammalia; Primates; Hominidae. The record is from RNAcentral.
AAGGCUACUAUCUAGACUCGAAUGCUUUCAUACAAGUGAUUUUCAAAAAUUAGUCAAUAAAAAUUGGUGUCAGUGCAGGCUCAGGCCCGCCCCCAGAUACACUAGUUUCUAGGUCUGGGGCCAGCCUUGGAAAUGGCAUUGUUACUAGGCACGCAGGUGAUGCUGACUCGAUGGCCUGAGACACACCCCUUGAGAAGAAGCUGCUGUGGGGAGAUGAGGGUAUGAGUGGAAAGAGGAUGGGCGAGGAGGCCGGGCUUACUGGACACUAAGGUGAUGGACGGCGUCUGCUGGGCAGGCCUCGGGGAGGACCCCUCAGCUUUGCUCUCAGCAGGGGCCCCACAACCUCAGUGGGCAGUGGCAGGAACUGAGUGCCACUGGAAAGCCCAUUCCCUUUAUUUAAAAAAGGAGCUGGCCAGGAGGCCGCUACUUUGUGUCCAUUUCUCCUGAGGAAACUUCUCACCACCUUGGUUGAGCGGCUUCACGGCAGACAGCAGCGAGCCAGCGGCCGGACUCUGUAUUUCGGACCCCACUCCAGUGCUCCCUGGAUCAUACCAGGAUCUGCCUCUGUCCACAAAGAUGAGGGAAAAUGAUGACUGGGCUGUGCUCUCUACUUCCUGAAGUUACUGCGUGAUUCUAAAGCUGCCACUCGGAACAGCGAGUCCUCUGGCUUCGAGAGAAGGGAGGGGUAGGGUGGACAGGCGAUGCUGUGGAAAGACAUCUCGGUGGAAACUGCCGUGGUGGAAAGGUGGCGCGCUUCUCACGGCUGAGUUGCUGCGCCUGCAGACAGAAGCUCCGCACAGGCAGGGCUGCUUGGACGCGUGAGUCAUGAAGCCAGAGAAGUCCUGCUCCACGAGCAGUGACUCCCCAGGCCCUGUGACCUCUUCCACCCGUAUUGCAGCUCCUCCUGGCACCAGUGCCCAGGGCUCUCCUGCUGGUAGUUCCUGCUUUUCUUCUUGGAAAUUCCUCGUGGGCCUCGAGAUCUUUACCCUAAAACAGUUCUGUUGAAUUUCACCCUGACGAUGUAAAUUGAUAGCUUAUCUUCACAGAUGCCAGACAAAGGACAGAACUCACCAUCAGCCCUCUGCUCACCUGAGACAAAUGCCUGUCUGAUUGCUUCCUCUGCCCUGUUUAUGUAAAAAUGCAGAUUCACUGAGCCAGACUAAGGCAUAAGUGACUGUUCCUCUACCUGCCUCUCACAUGGAAAUUGUGUAUUCAGUGAAAGGCUGAUCAAAGACCCAAAAGAAUGCAACAGGUUAUCUCUUAUCUACCUAUGACCUGGGAGCUGCCCACCGCCCCCAGUUGUUCCACCUUUCCAGACAGAACCAGUGUACAUCUUACAUGUAUUAAUUGAUGUCUGGUGUCUCCCUAAUAUGUAUCAAAGCAAGCUGUGCCUCGACCACCUUGGGCACAUGUCCUCAGGACAUCAUCCUGAGGCUGUGUCACAGGCACGUCCUUAACCUUGGCAAAAUAAACUUUCUAAAUUGAGA